Molecule: ribosomal RNA, 392 nt
Filed under: uncultured bacterium
Lineage: Bacteria
Description: partial 16S ribosomal RNA
Rfam family: Bacterial small subunit ribosomal RNA
Source: RNAcentral
AUACGGAGGAUCCGAGCGUUAUCCGGAUUUAUUGGGUUUAAAGGGUGCGCAGGCGGCCAUUUAAGUCAGCGGUUAAAUCGUGGGGCUCAACCCCAUUCUGCCGUUGAUACUGGGUGGCUUGAUUGCGGUCGAGGUUGGCGGAAUUCGUUGUGUAGCGGUGAAAUGCAUAGAUAUGACGAAGAACACCGAUUGCGUAGGCAGCUGACCAGAUCGCAAAUGACGCUCAUGCACGAAAGUGCGGGGAUCGAACAGGAUUAGAUACCCUGGUAGUCCGCACAGUAAACGAUGAAUACUUGUUUUCGGCGAUAUAAUGUCGGAGGCGAAGCGAAAGCGAUAAGUAUUCCACCUGGGGAGUACGCCGGCAACGGUGAAACUCAAAUGAAUUGACGGGG